CGUGAGGAACCUGCCUCAAAGAGGGGGGACAACAGUGGGAAACGACUGCUAAUACCGCAUAAGCCCACGACCCGGCAUCGGGUAGAGGGAAAAGGAGCAAUCCGCUUUGAGAUGAGCUCGCGUCUGAUUAGCUAGUUGGUAAGGUAACGGCUUACCAAGGCGACGAUCAGUAGCCGGACUGAGAGGUUGAUCGGCCACAUUGGGACUGAGACACGGCCCAGACUCCUACGGGAGGCAGCAGUGGGGAAUAUUGCACAAUGGAGGAAACUCUGAUGCAGCGAUGCCGCGUGAGGGAAGAAGGUUUUAGGAUUGUAAACCUCUGUCUUCAGGGACGAAAAAAGACGGUACCUGAGGAGGAAGCUCCGGCUAACUACGUGCCAGCAGCCGCGGUAAUACGUAGGGAGCGAGCGUUGUCCGGAAUUACUGGGUGUAAAGGGAGCGUAGGCGGGAUCGCAAGUCAGAUGUGAAAACUAUGGGCUUAACCCAUAAACUGCAUUUGAAACUGUGGUUCUUGAGUGAAGUAGAGGUAAGCGGAAUUCCUAGUGUAGUGGUGAAAUGCGUAGAUAUUAGGAGGAACAUCAGUGGCGAAGGCGGCUUACUGGGCUUUAACUGACGCUGAGGCUCGAAAGCGUGGGGAGCAAACAGGAUUAGAUACCCUGGUAGUCCACGCCGUAAACGAUGAUUACUAGGUAUGGGGGGGACUGACCCCUUCCGUGCCGAAGCAAAACGCAAGAAGUAAUCCAACUAUGGGGGAGUGCGACCAGCAAGGUUGAAAAUCAAAAGGAAUUGACGGAGGCCCACACAAGCGGUGGAGUAAGUGGAUUAAUUGGAAGCAACGAGAAGAACCUUACCAGGUCUUGACGUGGUAAGCAUAGGUCAGAGAUGAGAGAAAUCUCUUUGAAGAACAUAUAGACAGGAGGUGCAUGGUUGUCGUCAGCUAGUGUAGUGAGAUGUUGGGUUAAGUCCAGCAACGAGAGCAACCCUUAGUGUUAGUUGGUACGCAAGAGCACUAAAGCAGGACUGCCGUUGACAAAACGGAGGAAGGUGGGGAUGACGUCAAAUAAUCAUGCCCCUUAUGACCUGGGCCUCACACGUACUACAAUGGCUGUUAACAGAGGGAUGCAAAGCCGCGAGGUGGAGCGAACCCCUAAAAGCAGUCUUAGUUCGGAUUGUAGGCUGCAACCCGCCUACAUGAAGUCGGAAUUGCUAGUAAUCGCAGAUCAGCAUGAUGCGGUGAAUACGUUCCCGGGCCUUGUACACACCGCCCGUCA
RNAcentral lists this ribosomal RNA (1271 nucleotides) under uncultured bacterium. RNAcentral describes it as "bacterial SSU rRNA". It matches the Rfam family "Bacterial small subunit ribosomal RNA", at positions 116 to 1399 of the family's 1533-position model. The record is from RNAcentral.